UACGGGGGGGGCAAGCGUUGUUCGGAAUUACUGGGCGUAAAGGGCUCGUAGGCGGCCAACUAAGUCAGACGUGAAAUCCCCAGGCUCAACCUGGGAACUGCGUCUGAUACUGGAUGGCUUGAAUCCGGGAGAGGGAUGCAGAAUUCCAGGUGUAGCGGUGAAAUGCGUAGAUAUCGUUUGGAACGCCAAUGGUGAAAACAGGUUGCUGGGGAUGUGCUGACGCUGAGACACGAAAGCCAGGGGAGCAAACGGG
RNAcentral lists this ribosomal RNA (253 nucleotides) under uncultured bacterium. RNAcentral describes it as "partial 16S ribosomal RNA". It matches the Rfam family "Bacterial small subunit ribosomal RNA", at positions 524 to 776 of the family's 1533-position model. The record is from RNAcentral.